Molecule: ribosomal RNA, 540 nt
Filed under: Sweziella tergoprolixa
Lineage: Eukaryota; Metazoa; Arthropoda; Insecta; Diptera; Dolichopodidae
Description: partial 12S ribosomal RNA
Source: RNAcentral
GUGCCAGCAGCUGCGGUUAUACAAAAAAUACAAGUAAAUUUUAUUAAAUUAAGUUAAAUUGUAAAAUAUUUAAUAAUAAAGAAAUUUUUAGGUGAAAUUUUAAUUAUUUUAUUUUUAAAAAGAGAAAAAAUAUUGAAGCUAGAAAAUUUUGUUAAUAAACUAGGAUUAGAUACCCUAUUAUUAAAAAAUGUAUUUUAAAAAAGUUAGAGUAGUAAUAGGUAUGAUCUUGAAACUCAAAAAAUUUGGCGGUAUUUUAGUCUAUUCAGAGGAACCUGUGGUAUAAUCGAUAAUCCACGAUGAAUCUUACUUAUUUUUGUAUAUCAAUUUGUAUACCGCCGUUAUUUAAAAAUUUUUUGAAAAUAAUAAUUUUUAUAAUUUUUUAUUAAAGAAUAAGUCAGGUCAAGGUGCAGUUUAUAUAUAAGUAUUUCAUGGGUUACAAUAAAUUUAUUUAUACGGAUUAAAUUAUGAAAUUAAUUUAUGAAGGUGGAUUUGGUAGUAAAUUUUUAAAGAUUAAAGAGUUGAUUUUAGCUCUAAAAUAUG